GGUAAAAUGACUGAGCGUUAAGUGGUGGAUUGUAGCCCCAUAGACAGAGGUUUAAGUCCUCUUUUUACCA
RNAcentral lists this transfer RNA (70 nucleotides) under Rhinogobius formosanus. Its description in RNAcentral is "tRNA-Tyr". It matches the Rfam family "tRNA". Rfam says of the family: Transfer RNA (tRNA) molecules are approximately 80 nucleotides in length. Their secondary structure includes four short double-helical elements and three loops (D, anti-codon, and T loops). The record is from RNAcentral. Lineage: Eukaryota; Metazoa; Chordata; Actinopteri; Gobiiformes; Gobiidae.